CAGCAGCCGCGGGAAUACGAGGGGGGCAAGCGUUGUUCGGAAUUAUUGGGCGUAAAGGGUGCGUAGGCGGUUUGACAAGUCUUAUGUGAAAUCUCUGGGCUCAACCCAGAGUCUGCAUGGGAAGCUGUCGGGCUUGAGUAUGGGAGAGGUGAGUGGAAUUUCCGGUGUAGCGGUGAAAUGCGUAGAGAUGUGGAGGAACACCAGUGGCGAAGGCGACUCUCUGGUCUGUAACUGACGCUGAGGAGCGAAAGCGUGGGGAGCGAACAGGAUUAGAUACCCGCGUAGUCCCUGUCUCUUAUAC
Molecule: ribosomal RNA, 301 nt
Filed under: uncultured bacterium
Lineage: Bacteria
Description: partial 16S ribosomal RNA
Rfam family: Bacterial small subunit ribosomal RNA
Source: RNAcentral